Molecule: transfer RNA, 56 nt
Filed under: Lagenaria breviflora
Lineage: Eukaryota; Viridiplantae; Streptophyta; Magnoliopsida; Cucurbitales; Cucurbitaceae
Description: partial tRNA-Leu
Rfam family: tRNA
About the family: Transfer RNA (tRNA) molecules are approximately 80 nucleotides in length.
Source: RNAcentral
GGACUUAAAAUCCGUCGACUUUAAAAAUCGUGAGGGUUCAAGUCCCUCUAAUCCCA